Molecule: ribosomal RNA, 485 nt
Filed under: uncultured bacterium
Lineage: Bacteria
Description: bacterial SSU rRNA
Rfam family: Bacterial small subunit ribosomal RNA
Source: RNAcentral
GAUGAACGCUAGCGGAGGCUUAACACAUGCAAGUCGAGGGGCAGCAUAAGGUAGCAAUACUUUGAUGGCGACCGGCGCACGGGUGAGUAACGCGUAUGUAACCUGUCCUUAACAGGAGGAUAACCCGGAGAAAUUCGGACUAAUACUGCAUAAAAUUAUAAAUAGGCAUCUAUUAAUAAUUAAAGCUACGGCGGUUAGGGAGGGGCAUGCGUAACAUUAGCUGGUUGGUAGGGUAACGGCCUACCAAGGCAAUGAUGUUUAGGGGACCUGAGAGGGUGACCCCCCACACUGGUACUGAGACACGGACCAGACUCCUACGGGAGGCAGCAGUGAGGAAUAUUGGUCAAUGGGCGGCAGCCUGAACCAGCCAUCCCGCGUGAAGGAAGAAUGCGCUAUGCGUUGUAAACUUCUUUUUCAGGGGGAUAAAAUUCUGUAUGUAUACAGGACUGAAGGUACCCUGAGAAUAAGCAUCGGCUAACUCCGUG